This 492-nucleotide ribosomal RNA is filed under the name uncultured bacterium. RNAcentral's name for it is "partial 16S ribosomal RNA". It matches the Rfam family "Bacterial small subunit ribosomal RNA", at positions 28 to 507 of the family's 1533-position model. The record is from RNAcentral.
GAUGAACGCUAGCGACAGGCUUAACACAUGCAAGUCGAGGGGAAACGCCAUGCAAAGCUUGCUUUUGAUGGGCGUCGACCGGCGCACGGGUGAGUAACGCGUAUCCAACCUGCCCAUCACUUGGGAAUAACCUUGCGAACGUAAUACUAAUAACCAAUGAUAUCCCAGGAAGGCAUCGGAAUGGGAGAUAAGAUCUGUCGGUGAUGGAUGGGGAUGCGUCUGAUUAGCUGGUUGGCGGGGGAACGGCACACCAAGGCGACGGUGAGUACGGGUUGUGAGAGGCAGGCCCCCCACAUUGGAACUGCGGCACGGUCCAAACCCGUACGGGGGGCAGGAGUAAGUAAGACUAUGGGAUGGGCGAUGGCCUGACCCAGCCAAGUAGAGUGCAGGAACCCUGCGCUAGGAGUCUGAAUCUGCUUUUAAAAGAGCAGAAAGGGUGUCACGUGUGACUUUUUGACUGUACCUUAUGAAUAAGCACCGGCUAACUCCGUG